AACGAACGCUGGCGGCAGGCCUAACACAUGCAAGUCGAGCGGACCCUUCGGGUUUAGCGGCGGACGGGUGAGUAACGCGUGGGAAUAUGCCCUUCUCUACGGAAUAGUCCUGGGAAACUGGGGGUAAUACCGUAUACGCCCUUUGGGGGAAAGAUUUAUCGGGGAAGGAUUAGCCCGCGUUGGAUUAGGUAGUUGGUGGGGUAAUGGCCUACCAAGCCGACGAUCCAUAGCUGGUUUGAGAGGAUGAUCAGCCACACUGGGACUGAGACACGGCCCAGACUCCUACGGGAAGCAGCAGUGGGGAAUCUUAGACAAUGGGGGCAACCCUGAUCUAGCCAUGCCGCGUGAGUGAUGAAGGCCUUAGGGUUGUAAAGCUCUUUCAGCUGGGAAGAUAAUGACGGUACCAGCAGAAGAAGCCCCGGCUAACUCCGUG
Molecule: ribosomal RNA, 433 nt
Filed under: uncultured bacterium
Lineage: Bacteria
Description: partial 16S ribosomal RNA
Rfam family: Bacterial small subunit ribosomal RNA
Source: RNAcentral